GGCUGGUCUGAGUGCAGUGGUGUUUACAAUGAACUGAUCACAGCCAGUUACAGAUUUCUUUGUUCCUUCUCCACUCCCACUGCUUUGCUUGACUAGACUUAA
This is a non-coding RNA of Ailuropoda melanoleuca (giant panda), 102 nucleotides long. The record is from Rfam. NCBI's taxonomy places the organism in Eukaryota, Metazoa, Chordata, Mammalia, Carnivora, Ursidae.